This 396-nucleotide ribosomal RNA is filed under the name uncultured bacterium #0319-7O6. RNAcentral's name for it is "bacterial SSU rRNA". It matches the Rfam family "Bacterial small subunit ribosomal RNA", at positions 478 to 872 of the family's 1533-position model. The record is from RNAcentral. Lineage: Bacteria; Deltaproteobacteria.
CCGUUAAAGGAAGCACCGGCUAAUUCCGUGCCAGCAGCCGCGUUAAUACGGAGGNUGCAAGCGUUGNUCGGAAUUAUUGGGCGUAAAGGGUAGGUAGGUGNUNUCGUUUGUCUGGGGUGAAANCCUUGAGCUUAACUCAAGAAGUGCUUCAGAAACGGCGAGACUAGAGUUCUGGAGAGGNUCGUGGAAUUCCCGGUGUAGCGGUGAAAUGCGUAGAGAUCGGGAGGAACACCAGAGGCGAAGGCGGCGACCUGGACAGAUACUGACANUCAACUACGAAAGCGUGGGUAGCAAACAGGAUUAGAUACCCUGGUAGUCCACGCCGUAAACGAUGGGUACUAGACUUCGUGGGACUUGACCCCUGCGGAGUCGGAGCUAACGCAAUAAGUACCCCGC